RNAcentral lists this ribosomal RNA (271 nucleotides) under uncultured bacterium. Its description in RNAcentral is "partial 16S ribosomal RNA". It matches the Rfam family "Bacterial small subunit ribosomal RNA", at positions 524 to 794 of the family's 1533-position model. The record is from RNAcentral.
UACGUAGGGUGCGAGCGUUGUCCGGAAUUACUGGGCGUAAAGAGCUCGUAGGUGGUUUGUCGCGUUGUUCGUGAAAACCAGAGGCUUAACCUCUGGCGUGCGGGCGAUACGGGCAGACUGGAGUACUGCAGGGGAGACUGGAAUUCCUGGUGUAGCGGUGGAAUGCGCAGAUAUCAGGAGGAACACCGGUGGCGAAGGCGGGUCUCUGGGCAGUAACUGACGCUGAGGAGCGAAAGCGUGGGGAGCGAACAGGAUUAGAAACCCUGGUAGU